Non-coding RNA from Anas platyrhynchos (mallard), 1525 nucleotides. The record is from RefSeq and is a predicted model, not a curated record. Lineage: Eukaryota; Metazoa; Chordata; Aves; Anseriformes; Anatidae.
ACACACAGUUAUCACCUGGUGAAUUGAGCAAGCAUAUAGUUUCUCCAUAAUAAGCUUCCUCACUUUUAUUUUAUUUAAUCCCCCAGAAACCUGGGGCUUCCCAAAGGAGACUGUCUUUCCUUCACAGCAGGAAGAUCAACAUCCCUCACAAGCGGCACACAACAUCACACAGCUCCCAGUUCUUAACCUAAGCAAGUAGCCUGGAGUUUUUAUUAGAGAUGAUAAUUAAAUAACUUGAUCACUGGAGAGAGGCACUGCAGCCUGCGAUAAAUAGAUCCAGAUAAAGCCUUUCACAAACAAAUCACCAGAGAUGCAAAGAGCAGAGCAGUCACUUACCGCUUGGACAUCCCUGCCGCGGCUGGAGGGCUCUUCUGGGGGGAGGCAGGAUUGACGGAGUAGUGCUUUGUGCUGGGGACGCUGGCCUUGCAGCCACACAUCGUGAGGGCAGGCUGUUUGUGAUCUCUAAGCAACUGGAGUAACAGCAAACAGGUGGAUUCAGGCUCUGCCCCGUGCGAGCAGCCUGCCUGCAGCCGUGCCCCAUCAAUAAUGUAAGUGCUACCUGCUGGUCACGGGACCAGCAAGUACGUGGGUCUGAACGGCCCCUGUGACGUUGGCAGGUAGAGUUGCUCUUUAUUUUCUGUGAGAACUUAAUAGAAACAAACCAGACUCGGAUGGGGCCUGAAUCCCCUUACAUCUGUGGGAUGUAAUGUUGUACCAGGACUAACUCAGCCACCAAAGCAGCACCCAUUAUCAUUUUAAUCAGAAGCCUUCCUGGUGUGGGAUAAAGUAACUUGCCCCAGGCUAUGAAGAGAGCUGCUCCUUUAGGCAGAGUCGGAAACCAGGUGUCUCCCAAAUCCUGACCCAGCAUCAUCCUAGGACAGCAGCACAAAGAGCUCUGCUGGUGCCCCAGCUACUAGCACGGCAGCGCCCAGCACCACGCCUUGGCUUGGGUUUUUACCCGAGCAGACACUGCCUGCCUCCAAAAGCAGCACCGAGCCAUCUGGCAGAGCAGCCGCGAAGUGGAGGAACUGGAAGGGCUCUGAUGAACUUUGUUAUUUGUUGGCAUGGAUAUCGCUACCAGAAAACACACAGCUUGUCACGCUGCCCGUCUCUGGGCACGUUCUUGCCGCGCAUCCUUUGCCGAGGGGUGUCCAGACAGGGUGACAGUGAUCUAAAGGACUGAGCGGCUAUUUUCAUCCUGGGGGGGCUGUUAAAAGGUGGUGGCUUCAGCUACCUCAUCCAGCACAUCCUUCCUGGGGAAAGGAUACAAGGCGAUGUCAAGACUUCCCAGAAUGAGACUUUAUGUAACAGGACACGCAAAGGAGACUGCAACAGAUGGCCUAGAGAAUUAAAAUGUUUUCCUCGUUUAGUAGAAGCUAAAUUACUGAAGGCUAAUGAAUAAGGAUGUUCACCACCUUACUGUUCCUGGAUUUUAAUUAUCUUAAAAAGCAUGGGAAAAGAGAACCUUUAAUUUUCCAUCUAAGAGUGUCAUUACUCAAACAAUUCAGAGCCUUUUUCUGAGAGG